This 979-nucleotide ribosomal RNA is filed under the name Vibrio harveyi. RNAcentral's name for it is "bacterial SSU rRNA". It matches the Rfam family "Bacterial small subunit ribosomal RNA", at positions 86 to 1060 of the family's 1533-position model. The record is from RNAcentral. Lineage: Bacteria; Pseudomonadati; Pseudomonadota; Gammaproteobacteria; Vibrionales; Vibrionaceae.
CGGCGUCGAGCGGCGGACGGGUGAGUAAUGCCUAGGAAAUUGCCCUGAUGUGGGGGAUAACCAUUGGAAACGAUGGCUAAUACCGCAUAAUACCUACGGGUCAAAGAGGGGGACCUUCGGGCCUCUCGCGUCAGGAUAUGCCUAGGUGGGAUUAGCUAGUUGGUGAGGUAAUGGCUCACCAAGGCGACGAUCCCUAGCUGGUCUGAGAGGAUGAUCAGCCACACUGGAACUGAGACACGGUCCAGACUCCUACGGGAGGCAGCAGUGGGGAAUAUUGCACAAUGGGCGCAAGCCUGAUGCAGCCAUGCCGCGUGUGUGAAGAAGGCCUUCGGGUUGUAAAGCACUUUCAGUCGUGAGGAAGGUAGUGUAGUUAAUAGCUGCAUUAUUUGACGUUAGCGACAGAAGAAGCACCGGCUAACUCCGUGCCAGCAGCCGCGGUAAUACGGAGGGUGCGAGCGUUAAUCGGAAUUACUGGGCGUAAAGCGCAUGCAGGUGGUUUGUUAAGUCAGAUGUGAAAGCCCGGGGCUCAACCUCGGAAUAGCAUUUGAAACUGGCAGACUAGAGUACUGUAGAGGGGGGUAGAAUUUCAGGUGUAGCGGUGAAAUGCGUAGAGAUCUGAAGGAAUACCGGUGGCGAAGGCGGCCCCCUGGACAGAUACUGACACUCAGAUGCGAAAGCGUGGGGAGCAAACAGGAUUAGAUACCCUGGUAGUCCACGCCGUAAACGAUGUCUACUUGGAGGUUGUGGCCUUGAGCCGUGGCUUUCGGAGCUAACGCGUUAAGUAGACCGCCUGGGGAGUACGGUCGCAAGAUUAAAACUCAAAUGAAUUGACGGGGGCCCGCACAAGCGGUGGAGCAUGUGGUUUAAUUCGAUGCAACGCGAAGAACCUUACCUACUCUUGACAUCCAGAGAACUUUCCAGAGAUGGGAUUGGUGCCUUCGGGAACUCUGAGACAGGUGCUGCAUGGCUGUCGUCAGCU